CAAAUUGGGUUAUAACCCCGUAGAGACUCAACGAAUAUUCGUUGGAAUUCCUGCAUAAGCAGGAGUUAACACGCCACUUCCUUUCAAUUGAUCGAAAGGAUAAUGAUAUAGUCCGAUCCUUCCGGUAACGGAAGA
RNAcentral lists this non-coding RNA (135 nucleotides) under Candidatus Kaiserbacteria bacterium GW2011_GWA1_50_28. Lineage: Bacteria; Candidatus Kaiseribacteriota. The record is from RNAcentral.